UGGGGAAUAUUGGGCAAUGGGCGAAAGCCUGACCCAGCAACGCCGCGUGAGGGAAGAAGGUUUUCGGAUUGUAAACCUCUGUCCUUGGGGACGAAGAAAGUGACGGUACCCAAGGAGGAAGCCCCGGCUAACUACGUGCCAGCAGCCGCGGUAAUACGUAGGGGGCAAGCGUUGUCCGGAAUUACUGGGCGUAAAGGGUGCGUAGGCGGUUUUUUAAGUCAGAUGUGAAAUCCCCGGGCUUAACUCGGGUGUUGCAUUUGAAACUGGGGAACUAGAGUGCAGGAGAGGGAAGCGGAAUUCCUAGUGUAGCGGUAAAAUACAUAAAUAUUAAAAAAAACACCAGUGGCGAAGACGGCUUUCUGGACUGUAACUGACGCUGAGGCACGAAAGCGUGGGGAGCAAACAG
RNAcentral lists this ribosomal RNA (406 nucleotides) under uncultured bacterium. RNAcentral describes it as "bacterial SSU rRNA". It matches the Rfam family "Bacterial small subunit ribosomal RNA", at positions 355 to 775 of the family's 1533-position model. The record is from RNAcentral.